Molecule: long non-coding RNA, 8189 nt
Filed under: Ananas comosus (pineapple)
Lineage: Eukaryota; Viridiplantae; Streptophyta; Magnoliopsida; Poales; Bromeliaceae
Description: long non-coding RNA (ACOM_LNC028187)
Source: RNAcentral
UAGUCCCCAGUGGGUACCGCCCUCAAACUCAUCGGUCCACCUGCUAAGUCUACAGGGAUAAGCAGGAAUAGUAAAGAGUGCUGGAAUAAAUCUACAGCUAUAUGCCACUAUACUAUCAUGCCCUAAAUCUAACCAUCUGUAGAACAGUGUCAACUCAAACCGAAUCUCAAGUAAGGACUAUAAUCAUACCCGUCCAUGGGACUGUGAACACACCCGUCCCACCCGGUCGCGACUAUACAGCUACCUCCACACUAACCAGUCCGUGGAGAACAAGUCCAACCUGCACGAACGACAUCAACGCAAAAACACUAAGCCCAACUCCGGAGUGGUACUCGUGGGCGCUACCCAACCGAGUAUGCAAGCGUAUCUCUGUCGAGCUCAAUUAGGCUCUAAUAAGCCAAAGAGACAAGUAGCUAGGGUCAAAACAGGUCUAGAAACCGAACCCACGUACCCUCGGCACAAUCUAAUACCAAAAAUAGGAAUCUGGGUCCUCCGUCCACCCCGACGGCACCUGACAACCCGAAACAGCCUAGACUCUACUGUAAAAAUAAGCUCGGCGUCCCAGUACGAGCGUAAAUGCAUUCUAAACUACCCCGGAUAUCCACCGCGCUGAAACAGCAGUGAUACGAUCAAAUCACGGCUCUCAGAGCUAAAUCAGAUAGUAGAAUCAUAUGACGGGUUAAAACGCGGGUUUUCUCCUAAGUCAAAAUCCAAGUCCAAUAUGUAUAUUUAUCGAAUUAAGAAUCAUGCUCAAAAUUCAGAUUUCAUAUCUUAUACUAAUCGAUGAAUUUGAGCUACAACAUGCUAUAUCGAAGUCGAACUAUACAUGUUUACUAUACACAUGCUUAGGAGCAAAACCGAUAAGAAACCCACCUCAAGAGCUAAUCCCUGGUAGCAAAGAACUCUCUCUCAGCUGCGGAAAACCUGCUAGAUCAACCGAAACACCUUCAAGUCCAGUAAUAAAGCUACAUCAAGGUUCAAGCACCAAAAUCCAUGAAUUUACCAAAAUUUCAGCACUUAAGCCUAAAUAUCUCAACUCCAAUGUCAAAACUCACCUAAUAAUCUCCAACUCAGGUGAGACAAGUUCCAAAUCUAGUACUGGUUGAUAGGGAAUGUGUCUCAACUCUACAAAGCCCUUGCUUCAAAAGUUCACCCAAGGAAAAGCUCAAAAACUUGCAAUUCUGUUCAAAGCAACAGCAGCAGAGGAAAACCUGAGUUCGACUGAGCUAACCUUCACCAAAUUCUGCAAUUUAGGGCUUCGUGGAUUCCUCAGGAAGUCUAGAAUCCAACAAACCAAGUUUCACCGCGAUCCGACCUUCCUACGUCGCGUACGAGCCAAAACACUAGAGGUCAUCACUGAAGAACUACAGAAUCAGCACCUAUCAAGCUUGGAGUUGUAGAUUUUGAAGCAAUUUGAGUGAUUUGGAGGGGUUGGAAUGCAAAGUAGAGGAUCACUGUGAAGAAGAGAGGAAAAGAGCACCAGGGACGCUCCUCAGCUAUUUAUAGGGUGAACAUAGGGUCAGAUGAACCUCAGGAACAAAAGCUGCAAUUCUGUUACACCAGCAGAAUUGGCCACUUUCGGGCGCCCGAAACCCAUUUCUGGGCGUCUGAAACCUCUAGGCUGCUCAUUUGCUCCCCUUUGGUUCCAUCGCCCGCUGUGUGCUGCGCCCGUAAACGGCUCCGGCGGAUCUCACCUACCACUAGCCACGUGUCAACACAAGCGAUAUUUACGAGGUGUAAUUUUCGGACCCACUUCCGGGCGCCCGAAAUAUGGACCCGAAUUCGCUUCCAGUUCUGAUCAAAUCUACACUCAACUUCUAGGCGACCCAAGACCAGUUCUAGGCGCCCGAAUCUGGCAAAACUCCAGUUUUGCUUAUUUGAGUGCGCCGAGUUCAUUUCUGCAUCCAAUUCGUAUAGAAACGACUCCGACUCAGUCUGACACUCUCCAGAUGUGUCGACCAGUCACUAAUACCGAAGCCAAUUCUAUCCAAAGCUCAGAAAUACUACAGAUUUCAUGAUAACUAUAGAGCUUUUUUGAUGCAUUAAGGGCUUGAGAACAUUGUAAUAUACCGAACUUUAGUCAAAUUGACCGAAGUGCAGAGUGGGAUAAGUUAGGGAGGUCCGUUGUUCAUUCCGAACAUUUUGGAGUGUGUACCCAUUGUUUUCAAGCUUUAAUUCAUCUCUCAAGUCAGGUUGGUUUUUGAUAUCGCUUCCUGCCUCCUUUCCUUUGUUACUUCCUUGCCCUGUUUUAUUUCUCGAAGUCUGGUUGUACAUGUAAAUCACUGCCAAGUCAUAUAUUUACAUCUAUAGCCAACAUUCCGUAUUCUUAUGUACUCCAACUAAUAUGUUACUGUCCGUUCAUUUUGUUCAUUGUUAUUUGUUUACCUUCUCAGCAACUGAAACUUGUAAUGGAUUCUAUAAAUUGGGCUUUUCGGCACACUGAGAGGAACAUUGCUGAGACUGGUCUUAAUCUUUUGUUGGAAAUGAUGAAGAAUUUUCAGGUUCGACUUCUACCCAAUCCUUGAAUCCUCAAUUAGCCAUUAUAAUUUGUGCGCAAUAAUCGUAACUGUUUACCGUGAUCAAAUUUCAGAUGUCAGAAUUCUGUAAUCAAUUCUAUAGAACAUAUUAUAUGAACAUCGAGCAAAAGAUCUUUGCCGUCCUAACAGAUACAUUUCACAAGCCGGGUUUCAAGCUCCAUGUUUUGGUGCUACAGCAUUUGUUUUGUCUGCUACUUCUAAAAAUACACUAUUUCCACCUAGUUUGUUAGAAAUUAUCGCUUGCCACCCAGUGUGCCACACCAUAACCGUGCAUUUCCCAGUGGUUCGUCUUCCCUAGAUGGAAUGGAGGGCAAAUCGCUCGGUGGUGCAUGAACAUCAUGCGCAUUUGGUGCUGGUAAUAAAUUCUUCUCAUUUGCUUUUAUUAUUCCUUGAUGAAUGUUAUGGUGGUUUACAUGCAGGUUGACUCUGGUUCAUUAAUUGAGCCGCUAUGGGAUGCGUCAACGGUACCUUAUCCCUAUCCCAACAAUAUGAUGUUUGUUCGUGAUUACACCAUAAAGCUUUUGGGAACAUCGUUUCCAAAUAUGACGGUAGCUGAGGUAGUAUACCCCACAUUCUCAGCACAUUUUCCUUGGCCCAGAAAACACUCUUUUCUUUCGUUUGCACAAGGGUGUAUGGACCUUGGAGAGCAAGCUGGGAAGUUUUCAGCUCAAUUCGUGUUAGAAAUGUCUCGGGGUCCGGACCCUGAGUGCAAGCUCCGGACCCCGUACCCGCAAUUUCGUGGGUUUGUUCUGUACAGUGAUUUGGAGAGGGGCUUAUGUGCAAUUGUGCAUGAGGAUGCUAUUUGAAGGUUCUACACCCUUCCUCCUCUUCAUUUCUCAUUGGUGAACAAAGAGAAAAGCUCUCUUUUUCUCUCUCUAAGAUUCUCCUCUCUCUCCCUUUCUCUCCUUCUCUCACUAGGGUUGCUCCAAGAGGGGGCUUGGUGGAGAAGAAGGCUUGUUGGAGGGUAGAGUUAGCACUUGUGCAACAAGUGAAGGAAGAAGCUAGAACUCAAGAUGAGUUCUUGUGAUGUUAGGCUAGCGUUUUGAGUUAAUUACUUCUAGUAAUUAUAUCUAGAAGCUUGUAUGCUAGAUUAAUGUGUUAAUCUCCAUGUUUUAUGAGGUCUAUAUGGAUUGUUGGAAACCCUAGGGGUCAAAUUGGGAUUUUGCUAAGUUGGGGAUCUAACUAGGGUUUGAUCUCUUGUAGCCCUAAUUGACGAGUAAUCUGACGCGUUGGGAAACUCGGAUCGAGAUUCCAGCGAGUCUAUGCCAAGAUAUUGAGGAAAAACCCCAUUUGGGCUUCGUUUGCCAUGGUCGAGGGGAAUAGGCGAUCAUGAAUCACAAGAUCUUGGGAUUGCACCCCAUUUGGGCUUCUCCAAGUGCAUGAACCACUUCUCCACGAUCCAGUGGUCGACUUUCUCUACGUCAAAGAUCCUGGGAUUGCACCUCCUAAACUCAUUGAGGCGAUCCAUGAGUCGGUCAUGCUCUGCUCUCUCAACUAAUGCAGGAAAAACUGCCCCCGCCGGAGGCACCUGAACUGGUGGUGCCGCGACCAUCUCCUCCCGAGGCGCAUCCGCGGGUGCCAUCAGCGAAGUGUCGAGUGCAGGGGACGACACCCUGGGUGCAACCACCUCCACCGGCGCGGGUGGUGUAGGAACCUGAGCCUCCCUAACCGUCGCCUGCUGCAGUAGUAGGCCUUCCAAGCGCUUUAUCCGCGCCUCCUGCCGGCGCGCCGUAUCCGCCUGCUGCUGGGCCGCCGCCGCCUGCUUAGCGACCAAGUCGGUGAGGGCCGCAAGCUGGCUCCUCAACUCACGGACCUCGCUGGAUCUGGAGGUAGCGAAGGUCUCCACCUCCUCAAGAUUUGCCGCAUUGUCCGCUCAAACAGACUUAGAGCGAGUAAUCGGCAUCGUCACUACAACAUCAUAAAAGCACAAGUUAGCAAAAACCCACGUUAUUGCAAGCUCGACAGAUAAUUUUCAAAUCAUGCGAAAGUAAGAAAGUGUCCUUCACUCCUAACUCCCGAUGUUACGUUGGCCGCCAACGUAACCCUCCGCGAAGUUAAGAGCUAUACACUUCGAUUAAACUCCAACUUUUUGGAGUUAUUAUAAAACCCAAUCAUAAUACUGUCGCUCAUAAGUCAAAUAGACCUCGUCUCUCACGAGCCUAUUUCCUAUAAUCCAACCGGCCUAAGGUUUGCUAGGUCCACUAAGAUUCAACCCUAGGCUCUGAUACCAACUUAAUCUGUCACGCCCCGGGACCCAGCGGAAGCACGCCCGGUGCGUGUCCUGACCCGCCAUACGUCUGCAACAUAUAAGGCGUCUACAACAAAACGAUAAAUAAAGUAAUAAUAUACAAAGAUCUAGAGAUAUCAGAGCAUACAACAUCUGUCACGCCCCCGCCCCGAGUCCGCUACCGAUUUGGUCCGGUUCGGGCGCGGCGAACGGACCGCCGAACGGACAGCAACUCCCUUGUCCACCCAAGGCUUAAACGACGAGAUUAUGUACACAAGUUUCCAAGAAAUACACUUGAUUACAUACAUGAUCUAACAACAACGACGAAGCACAAACAGUGCUUAUCAACCAAGAGCAAGCAACACAAGUAAAGCAUACAAGUGAUAAAAGAGAGUGUACUUAACUAUUACACUCAUUUAACUUUAUACAAUUAUUUCAUCUUUUACGGUUUUCCAAAACAUAUGUGCAAUCACCCUCAAAACCUCACCCUAUACAUCAUCUACUCUCAAUAUAAGUACAGGGUAGAGCUAAUGCAAAAGGAAGUAAAACUCUACUAAUACCACUAGGGCGCCACGCCCUUGCCGCGAUCCUCACCGGGGUUACUCGAACUCGGACCUGCAACAAAGUGGGAUGAGAACUACGAAUAGUUCCCAGUGGGUUUAGCCGCCGACUUCGCCGAUCUCCCCACUAGGUCUAAGCAGGCACAGAUAGAUAUGCAAAUAGAUAGAUAUUUUUCUGAAUUGANGACUCCGCCGAUCUCCCCACUAGGUCUAAGCAGGCACAGAUAGAUAUGCAAAUAGAUAGAUAUUUUUCUGAAUUGAAAGCAUCUAUAAUAAACAGUCAAGUAUAUAAAAUGAACAUCUAACUAUGCCUCGAUCUGAAAUGAUGCAUGCAUGUGUCAUAUGGCAAGGCUAAGUAACCAACUACUAUGCACAACAAUAAUGUGACUCGUUCGGUUACCCAAUCUCUCAGCGAACUUAAGGUUCGCUCACAGUCUCACGUGUGUAAGUCUCAUAGGGGAGGAGACUAGCUACUCAACUACUCUCGAGACCGCCUGCGGACAGCUACAAUGGUCCAAGGGCAACUACAUUGGCCCCCCCUUCGCGUGACAACCUCCGGAGUGCACUACCUGUGUGGAGCGACCACCACAGGCGCAGACAGGCUAUGUGAGCUCGAUCCAAUCUCAUGAACUAGGAACACCCUACCAACUAGGGUUAGUCUCAACAUAGAAUCGAAGUAUUCUAGUUCUCGAUCUCAUAGUGUUCGACUACACUAAAGUUUUCACAUUUCAUAUCAACUAGAUGCCACUCGUUCUGUGUUCAUUGUUAUCUAGAUGCCACUCGCUCUCAAUACGCUAGUUUGCAAUAUACUAGGUUCAUAUUCACAUAACAUGUUCAUCACAUAUAAGGUUAACUAUCUCAUGUCCAACUCAUGCAUACUAGGUUCUCAUUCAUUAUAUCCGCAACCCAACUAACACUAGCAUGCAUUAAUAUGUAACAAUUACAUUUACACCCUAUGAUGCUAUAUUACAAUAUGCAGUUGAUCAACACGAUGACUUAGACAUAGGGAGCAGUUCAACUGCUUCGGGAUGGCACUCCCUCACCUUUUGGUAGUGCUGCAUGGCUAGAAAACUCGGCGUCACGAUCCUUGUACGUCGCUUCCACUCCUCGGGGCAAAACGAACCUUCAAGUACCUGUUUCGGCGAUAUCUUCGCACUCGCUCGUCGGAUCGACGAACCGUCUUCGCCUACGCGUUCAAAGACCUAGCAAUUAGGUUAACAACCCAUUAAACAAGAUCAAAACCCUACAUUUCCAAAAAUCCCAAAUCUGUGCCCUAGGUUAGCAACAAUGGAGGAAUCCGUGGUGCAAGCUUCAAAUUCGAGCUCGAACCAUCUCCUUAACCUCAAUAGGUUCCGUUCGAUCCAUUUCUAAGCAAUAAAACCCUAACCCAAGAAAUCCACCAUGGUAGGGUUGAGGCUUACCUCAAUACCAAGCUCCAAGCUUGAGAGAGGGAGAGAAGAAGAUGACCUUCUUCUUCUUUUUAGUCUUCUUCUUCCUUUUUCUCUUCUUUUCCUUCUUCUUCUUCCUCUCCUUCUUCUUCUCCUUCUUUUCUUUCUAGAGAGAGAGAGGGAAAGAGUGUGAGAGAGAGAGAGCAAAUGAGAGGGAUGGGAGAGAAGAGUGGUCCCCAAGCCUCUCAUAUAAGGCAUUUUGCAAAUAAGCCCCUCAGCUUUUUAUUCUCUAAAAUAGCCCUCACUGGGCAUUUUCGCAGCGAGGGACCGGUCCUUGGUCGGGGAGACCGGUCCCUGAGAGCUUCCCAUUCGGGCAGAAGGGAUUUCGUGUUCGGGAACCGGUCCCUACCUGAGAGACCGGUCCCCGGGAGACCGGUCCUUGUCUGAGAGAUCGGUUCCCGAGAGUUGGAUUUUCUGGCACGAUCCUGCGCCAGCUGUGCACGCUUCGGCAACGACGGUCGGCCUCGGCGACGAUACAUAGCUGCAAAGAAUAAAACAAAGUCAGAUAACCACAAACACUCUCGACCCAAUCAACGAAAAUCCAGAAGGCGGCACCUAUUUCUCCUCAAAAUUAUGUCGUCUGCAGCCAACAUAAUUUUGCAGGCCAAAACAAGCACUCCUCCAAUCACUCACUCCACUCUAGGAGAAGUUAGGACAACUAAUCAUUGACUUUCGCAGUAAUUCAUGCCUCUCUCGUAUUGUCUUCCUAAGGUUUGCCAAACUUAGGUUUCCUAGGUCCCAAUGACCUAAUGCUAGGCUCUGAUACCAACUUAAUCUGUCACGCCCCGGAUUAACACGUUCCCCGGGCACGCCGACAAAUCCGCCGUAUAUAAAGAAUUUUUCAUGUAUACGAAGCGUAGCUGGAACUGUAAUACAUACAAUACUACAACCAGUAGUAUAGAGCUGUAAAGAAACUAAACAUGUAGAACAAAAUAAGUCUCAUAUACAUACAAGAAAACUCUGUACAAAAGUACUCGCUCCAGCGAGUUAUACAUCAGUACGUACAUGAACUCAAAAAAAAAAAUAAAAGUACAACUACCUGCAGCAAGUACUCCUCUAUCACAGCGACUCAUCUGGUAGGGCUCUAACUCGCGACGCCCUUGCCACGGUCAGAAUCGACAACAGCAGCAGCAGCCGAAGACGAUGGCUCUGCAAAACAGUGGUAACAACUGGGCGUGAGAACUACUGUAAAAAUAAGUAGUCCUCAGUGGGUAUCGCCCUCAACAUAAUCGGUCCACCCACUAAGUCUAUAGAAAGAAACAGAGCUAGUAGGAAAAAGCUGGAAAGCAAUCUACAGCUACAUAUUGCUACACUAGCAUGCUCUACACUAACCAAGUAAAAGUCACUCACUAUCUCAUCUGGGCUGCCCAAACGGCCCCACCCUGCCUGUAUCUCACUACGCCGUACACCACCCCGG